UCACUAUGAUGAAAUAUCUUAUCCAGUUCUGCUACUGAAAUAACAUGUGGAAAUCUUACCAACCAAACUGAUUC
Molecule: small nucleolar RNA, 74 nt
Organism: Bradysia coprophila
Lineage: Eukaryota; Metazoa; Arthropoda; Insecta; Diptera; Sciaridae
Source: RefSeq, a predicted model, not a curated record